RNAcentral lists this long non-coding RNA (201 nucleotides) under Ananas comosus (pineapple). Its description in RNAcentral is "long non-coding RNA (ACOM_LNC021990)". The record is from RNAcentral. Lineage: Eukaryota; Viridiplantae; Streptophyta; Magnoliopsida; Poales; Bromeliaceae.
UAAUUUAAGAUCGCAGAAAAAUUACAUUUACACGCGGUUAAGAUUAGGGGUGGCAAUCCAGUUCGUUGUUCCGGAGUCAGCUUGUGUCCGGCUCGAAAUGAGCUCGAGGUCGUAUUACUCGGUUACUAAAUGAGCCGAACACGAACUGAAUUUUUUCGCUCGAUGCUUUAAUGAGUCAGCUUGUUUAUGAAAUGAGUCGAA